GAUGAACGCUGGCGGCGUGCCUAAUACAUGCAAGUCGAGCGAACAGACGAGGAGCUUGCUCCUCUGACGUUAGCGGCGGACGGGUGAGUAACACGUGGAUAACCUACCUAUAAGACUGGGAUAACUUCGGGAAACCGACGCUAAUUACGGAUAAAUUAUUCAUCCGCUUGGUUCAUUAGGGAAAGACGGUUUUGCUGUCAUUUAUAGAUGGAUCCGAUCCGCAUUAGCUAGUUGGUAAGGUAACGGCUUACCAAGGCAACGAUGCGUAGCCCACCUGAGAGGUGAUCGGGCCAACUGGAAAUGAGAACCGGACCAAAAUCCAAAGGGAGGCCGCAGUAGGGAAAUCUCCCAAAUGGGGGAAAGUCUGAAGGAGGAAAGCCCGGGGAGGGAAGAAGGUUUUUGGAUCGUAAAAACUUUUUUUUAGAGAAAAAACAAGUGUAGAGUAACUGAUACGCGUCUGGACGUUACUAAACAGAAAGGCCACGCCAAACAACUG
RNAcentral lists this ribosomal RNA (496 nucleotides) under uncultured bacterium. RNAcentral's name for it is "partial 16S ribosomal RNA". It matches the Rfam family "Bacterial small subunit ribosomal RNA", at positions 28 to 507 of the family's 1533-position model. The record is from RNAcentral.